This 497-nucleotide ribosomal RNA is filed under the name uncultured bacterium. Its description in RNAcentral is "partial 16S ribosomal RNA". It matches the Rfam family "Bacterial small subunit ribosomal RNA", at positions 28 to 507 of the family's 1533-position model. The record is from RNAcentral.
GAUGAACGCUGGCGGCGUGCCUAAUACAUGCAAGUCGAGCGAACAGACGAGGAGCUCGCUCCUCUGACGUUAGCGGCGGACGGGUGAGUAACACGUGGAUAACCUACCUAUAAGACUGGGAUAACUUCGGGAAACCGGAGCUAAUACCGGAUAAUAUAUUGAACCGCAUGGUUCAAUAGUGAAAGACGGUUUUGCUGUCACUUAUAGAUGGAUCCGCGCCGCAUUAGCUAGUUGGUAAGGUAACGGCUUACCAAGGCAACGAUGCGUAGCCGACCUGAGAGGGUGAUCGGCCACACUGGAACUGAGACACGGUCCAGACUCCUACGGGAGGCAGCAGUAGGGAAUCUUCCGCAAUGAGCGAAAGCCUGACGGAGCAACGCCGCGUGAGUGAUGAAGGUCUUCGGAUCGUAAAACUCUGUUAUUAGGGAAGAACAAAUGUGUAAGUAACUAUGCACGUCUUGACGGUACCUAAUCAGAAAGCCACGGCUAACUACGUG